This is a non-coding RNA of Blastosporella zonata, 94 nucleotides long. The record is from the annotation of a GenBank genome assembly. Lineage: Eukaryota; Fungi; Basidiomycota; Agaricomycetes; Agaricales; Lyophyllaceae.
GGGGGCAUAGCUCAGUUGGGAGAGCAGCAGACUGAAGUCGUUGGAAAUGAAUUCAUUAUUCUGAAGGUCCCGCGUUCAAUCCGCGGUGCCCCCA